GCAUAUAACUAGGCGGAGGAAAAGAAAUUAACGAAGAUUUCCCUAGUAACGGCGAGUGAAAAGGAAAUAGUUCAGCGCCGAAUCCCUUAGCCCGUGGUUAAGGGACCUGUGGCGUGAAGGAGAGCCUAUCUGACGGGCUAUAAGCUUCGGAAUAUUCCUCGAAUGGGAACCCGUAGCAGGUGCGAGGCCUGUAACGAGGCGAUACCCGUCAGUUUGCGCCUCCGUAGAGUCGGGUUACUUGGGAGUGUAGCCCAAAGUGGAAGGUAAACCCCUUCUAAAACUAAAUAUUACCACGAGACCGAUAGCGAACAAGUACCGCGAGGGAAAGUUGAAAAGAACUUUGAAGAGAGAGUUAAAUAGGGCGUGAAACCGCUUAGAAGAAAACGGACGGAGCCGUCGGGGGCCUUCGGGAAUCAGUCGCACGAUGCGCGGAUACGUCGCGGUUCGGAACGCAAGUCCGGCCGUGGCGUGAAAUAGUAGCGUUCGUACGGCGCAUUUCUCGAAGGUAAGCACCGCGACCGAUACCGUAGGCCGGCGAAGCGAUCGGAUUGAGGGCGAGUCCUCCCGCGGGGACUCGUAACCAGUCCUUUCGUACGCUCGUUGGACCGAAGUAAAGUAUCGAGCGCCAAAGUAACAGGUACGUCGGCUUGAAAGCUCGCCCGAGUAAUGGAUAGUCGGUCAAUCGGUUGGUAUCUGCUCGCAGGUGCCGAUCUAUUCGAUCCGGCUUAGAAGUUAUCGGCGACGCUCGACGUAUCGGCGUCCGCGGUGUCAGUGUCGGCCACCCGUCCGACCCGUCUUGAAACACGGACCAAGGAGUCUAACAUAUGCGCGAGCUAAUGGGUGGAAAACCCAAAGGCGCAAUAAAAGUAAACGCUGUUUCGGACAGCUAAGGUACGAUCCGAGGAUCCGAGCGAUCUUGGGCGCAGUACCGUCCCGUCCCGACCGCAUAUCGGUAGGGCGGAGAUAGAGUGCAUACGUUGGGACCCGAAAGAUGGUGAACUAUGCCUGAGCAGAGCGAAGCCAGAGGAAACUCUGGUGGAGGUUCGUAGCGGUUCUGACGUGCAAAUCGAUCGUCAGACUUGGGUAUAGGGGCGAAAGACUAAUCGAGCCAUC
This is a ribosomal RNA of 1113 nucleotides. It matches the Rfam family "Eukaryotic large subunit ribosomal RNA", at positions 38 to 944 of the family's 3401-position model.